AGAAUCCCGUAGCUCAUUGUUGGUCAGAGCCAUCACAUUGCAAGAGGAAAUUUUGUACUGUAUGCCGGAAACGUUUAGAUGAAAGCCCAGUAGUUCAUUGUCUAAUUUGUGAAUAUUUUGCACACAUUGAAUGUCAAGACUUUGCAGUGCCGGAUUGUAAAGAAAAUGCAACGUAUGUUCCUGGAAAAGAAUUAUUAAGCGUUCGACAUAUCGUUAGUACAAUUUUAUGUUUCAUAAUCCAAUAAUGUAUUUAAUGUCAAUAUAUAACAAUUGCUUAAGAAUUAUUAUAAUUAUUUUUACUAUAA
Condylostylus longicornis is the source of this 305-nucleotide long non-coding RNA. RefSeq lists it as uncharacterized. The record is from RefSeq and is a predicted model, not a curated record. The transcript is spliced from 2 exons. Lineage: Eukaryota; Metazoa; Arthropoda; Insecta; Diptera; Dolichopodidae.